UGAGGAAUAUUGGGCAAUGGACGCAAGUCUGACCCAGCAACGCCGCGUGGAGGAUGAAGGUUCUUGGAUCGUAAACUCCUUUUGCAGGGGAAAAGCAAGGAUGGUACCCUGAGAAUAAGUCACGGCUAACUACGUGCCAGCAGCCGCGGUAAUACGUAGGUGACAAGCGUUAUCCGGAUUUAUUGGGCGUAAAGCGCACGCAGGCGGCUCUUCAAGUCUGACGUGAAAUCUCUCGGCUUAACCGGGAGCGGUCGUUGGAAACUGAAGGGCUUGAGGCGAUGAGAGGGGUGUGGAAUUCCCGGUGUAGUGGUGGAAUGCGUAGAUAUCGGGAGGAACAUCAGUGGCGAAAGCGGCACCCUGGCAUUAGCCUGACGCUCAUGUGCGAAAGCGUGGGGAGCGAACGG
RNAcentral lists this ribosomal RNA (404 nucleotides) under uncultured bacterium. Its description in RNAcentral is "bacterial SSU rRNA". It matches the Rfam family "Bacterial small subunit ribosomal RNA", at positions 355 to 775 of the family's 1533-position model. The record is from RNAcentral.